RNA transcript from Callithrix jacchus (white-tufted-ear marmoset), 1474 nucleotides. It is a transcript of the gene named intraflagellar transport associated protein, with no coding region annotated. The record is from RefSeq and is a predicted model, not a curated record. NCBI's taxonomy places the organism in Eukaryota, Metazoa, Chordata, Mammalia, Primates, Cebidae.
AAGAGUCACCACGCGUCAGCGGGAAGAACCACAUUUCCCAGGAAUCCUUUCUCUAUGGGUUGCGUGGCUUUGGAAAUCUGUCUUUGUUGCUCUGGGAGAGGGGACUCCUGGAUGUGUCUCUGAAUAAAGACUAGCCGAAGAUACUGUGGCCUCCUGAAUAGGAAUGUCAGGAUUGGAAAUAAUGGAUGAAGAUCAAUUAAUCAAAGAAGUCUUGGAUAAAUUCCUCAAUUAUCGUGAGCAAACAUAUGAUGAAGAAUUUCUGGACACUUUUACUAAUCUUUCACAAGAGGAUCAUGUGUCCAAAAGGGGAGUGUUUGAAACUGAUUCUUCAGAAAACAUGUUUAUCUCAGCAAAAGUUACUCAUAAAAAUGAAGCAAAUGACCACCAUCUUAGAAAUAAAACCAUCUUUCUUCGUACGUCAUCACAGUGUUUGGAAGAACAGGUAGACAAUUUCCUAGAUUUAGAAGUCUUGGACAUGGAUGAAGAGAUUAAACCCCAAAUGAGCCAGGAUUCACUGCUGCUUCCAGGAGAAGUGGAGCAGAAUGUAAGCACCAGCAUUCCUUCUUGUAUCCCUUCUGUGGGCCAGCCUCCCAUUUGUGAAGCGAAGCCAAAGCCUGCUGUAAAAAGAAUGGACAAACAGAUGGAGGAGCCUGCCCCUGGAAAUGCUGGACAGCUGAAGCCACAAAGACAAAGGAGAAGAUUAGAGGCAACUGAGACCUAACCAAGUCACGGACCUGGAAGAUGAAAAGAAAACUGCUUGUCAUUCACUCUUAAUCUAUUGGCUUUGGAUGGAGUUCACUGCAACCCUAGUUCCAUGGAUUUCCUUCCCAUCCCCAGCUCCAGAAGGAGCCCUGAUUUCUAAACUGAUAAGCACAUGCCAUUCUCAUGACGAGAGUUACUGAAUGUAGUCAGCCAGUUCCUGUAUUGUGAGCUGCCCUACAAAGAAAAACUCAUGGAAAGGAACCAAGAGAAGCCUCAGACCAACAACCCAUGAGGAAUUGAGACCCUUAGUCCAACAGCCCAUGAAGAACUGAAUCCUGCCAACAAGAUGAGUGAGCUUAGAAGCGAACCUGUCCCCAGAGGAUUAAAAACAUUCCUUUUAGAAUUUUAUAACUUAAUAAGUAGGUCUAUCUUAUUUUUUACAUCCAUGUUAUUGAGUAAAAUCUCACAGCUGAAGGCGUGAGAUCCUGGCUUUGCCAGGGAGAGUUGGACCUGGAAGUGAGCCAAGUGAGGCUGCAGCUGGUGCGGGUCCACCUUCUGCACAGAGCAGCGGUGGGAAUGGUCAUCUUUGAAGGAAAACAUGAUGGAGCCUGUUGUGUCCAGUUCUGGUUCUUUGAGAGACAAGUGGUUCAGAGGAGUCUAAUGCUCCUGCUCCUUCCUUCAACUUGGAGACAUUGGCAGGCAGAACUAAAGUGCAGUUUGCUAGAAACACAACACUCUUCUGGAUGAAUGAUGGUUCUAUACAGGAUAAUGC